CCUACGGGGUGCAGCAGUGGGGAAUAUUGCGCAAUGGGCGAAAGCCUGACGCAGCGACGCCGCGUGAGGGAUGAAGGUCUUCGGAUCGUAAACCUCUGUCAGCAGGGAAGAACGGUCACUGUGCUAAUCAGCAGUGACUUGACGGUACCUGCAAAGGAAGCACCGGCUAACUCCGUGCCAGCAGCCGCGGUAAUACGGAGGGUGCGAGCGUUAAUCGGAAUUACUGGGCGUAAAGCGCUCGUAGGCGGUAUGUCAAGUCAAGGGUGAAAUCCCCGCGCUCAACGUGGGAACUGCCUUUGAAACUGGCAAACUGGAGUGUGUGAGAGGAUAGUGGAAUUCCAGGUGUAGGAGUGAAAUCCGUAGAUAUCUGGAGGAACAUCAGUGGCGAAGGCGACUAUCUGGCACAUAACUGACGCUGAGGAGCGAAAGCGUGGGUAGCAAACAGGAUUAGAUAUCCCGGUAGUC
Molecule: ribosomal RNA, 465 nt
Filed under: uncultured bacterium
Lineage: Bacteria
Description: partial 16S ribosomal RNA
Rfam family: Bacterial small subunit ribosomal RNA
Source: RNAcentral